AUUGAACGCUGGCGGCAUGCCUUACACAUGCAAGUCGAACGGCAGCACGGGAGCAAUCCUGGUGGCGAGUGGCGAACGGGUGAGUAAAGUAUCGGAACGUGCCCAGUCGUGGGGGAUAACGUAGCGAAAGUUACGCUAAUACCGCAUACGAUCUAUGGAUGAAAGCGGGGGAUCGCAAGACCUCGCGCGAUUGGAGCGGCCGAUAUCAGAUUAGGUAGUCGGUGGGGUAAAGGCUCACCAAGCCGACGAUCUGUAGCUGGUCUGAGAGGACGACCAGCCACACUGGGACUGAGACACGGCCCAGCCUCCUACGGGAGGCAGCAUUGGGGAAUUUUGGACAAUGGGCGAAAGCCUGAUCCAGCCAUGCCGCGUGCAGGAUGAAGGCCUUCGGGUUGUAAACUGCUUUUGUACGGAACGAAAAGGUUUGGCCUAAUAAGCUGAGCUCAUGACGGUACCGUAAGAAUAAGCACCGGCUAACUACGUGCCAGCAGCCGCCGUAA
Molecule: ribosomal RNA, 500 nt
Filed under: uncultured bacterium
Lineage: Bacteria
Description: partial 16S ribosomal RNA
Rfam family: Bacterial small subunit ribosomal RNA
Source: RNAcentral